UACUAGAGUAGCACUCGCAUAUCAAUAAGCGGAGGAAAAGAAACUAACAAGGAUUCCCCUAGUAACGGCGAGUGAAGCGGGAAGAGCUCAAAUUUGAAAUCUUAAAGGGUUUCCCUUUACGAAUUGUAGUUUAAAGAAGUGUUUUCUGUUGAGGUUUUGGUAAAAGUUCUUUGGAAUAGGACAUCAUAGAGGGUGAGAAUCCCGUAUUUGACCUUUACUUUCAACUUUGUGAUACACUUUCAAAGAGUCGGAUUGUUUGGGAAUGCAGUCCAAAAUGGGUGGUAAAUUUCAUCUAAAGCUAAAUAUUGGCGAGAGACCGAUAGCGAACAAGUACCGUGAGGGAAAGAUGAAAAGAACUUUGAAAAGAGAGUUAAACAGUACGUGAAAUUGUCAAAAGGGAAGCGUUUGACACCAGUGUUGUUUUUCUGAAAAUCAAUUAAAGAACUGUUUAUGCUAAGUUGUUUAGACUUUAUCAGCUAUCUGUUUAGUUUUGAGCUUUUCUUUAAUGCACUUUUCAGUUAACAAGUCAACAUCAAUUUCUUUUGCUGUAAUAAAGCUUGAGGAAGGUGGCUUGAGAUUCGUCUUAAGUGUUUAUAGCCUCUUGCCUAUGCAGUCGGAGAGAUUGAGGUCUGCAGCGUAGAUCCUUCGGGGCUAAAUGCAUUUGUGCUAAGUUAUAGCAUUUUAUAGACAACUUGUUGACUAUGAUUUGUCUUGUAGCUUACUCGCUUAUGUUAUUUUACCUACGCUUAGGAUGUUGAGCGCAUGUCUCUCUCU
Molecule: ribosomal RNA, 774 nt
Filed under: uncultured Neocallimastigales
Lineage: Eukaryota; Fungi; Neocallimastigomycota; Neocallimastigomycetes; Neocallimastigales
Description: partial large subunit ribosomal RNA
Rfam family: Eukaryotic large subunit ribosomal RNA
Source: RNAcentral